UCCCUGGCAGUCCAGUGGUUAAGUCUCUGCACUUCCAAUGCAGGGGGCCCAGGUUUGAUACCUGGUCAAGGAA
This is a transfer RNA of Ovis aries (sheep), 73 nucleotides long. It matches the Rfam family "tRNA". From Rfam's summary of the family: Transfer RNA (tRNA) molecules are approximately 80 nucleotides in length. Their secondary structure includes four short double-helical elements and three loops (D, anti-codon, and T loops). Further hydrogen bonds mediate the characteristic L-shaped molecular structure. tRNAs have two regions of fundamental functional importance: the anti-codon, which is responsible for specific mRNA codon recognition, and the 3' end, to which the tRNAs corresponding amino acid is attached (by aminoacyl-tRNA synthetases). tRNAs cope with the degeneracy of the genetic code in two manners: having more than one tRNA (with a specific anti-codon) for a particular amino acid; and 'wobble' base-pairing, i.e. permitting non-standard base-pairing at the 3rd anti-codon position. Lineage: Eukaryota; Metazoa; Chordata; Mammalia; Artiodactyla; Bovidae. The record is from Rfam.